ACAGAGCCUUCUGCAGCUCUGGGCCCUGAGAACGGGAAUAUUUGUGGUUAGGGGGACCCCAAAACACAUCCCUGACCCCAAAAUCCCUCCCUGACCCACAGGGCCUGCUCCAGGGCCCGCUGCAGCUCCAGCUCCUGGGGAUGGGAAAAUUUGGGGUUAGGGGAACCCCAAAACACAUCCCAAACCCACAGCACCCUCAGUGAAUGCUCCAGGGCCCGCUGCAGCUCCGGCUCCUGGGGAUAGAACAUUUGGGGUUAGGGGGACCCCAAAACAUAUCCCCCAAACACAUCCCAAACCCACGGCACCCUCAGUGAAGGCUCCUGGUGAAGGAAACAUUUGAGGGGUCAGGGGCACCCCAAAAUCCCUACCAAACACACAAAGCCCACUGCAGCUCCAGCUCCUGGCGAUGGGAAAAUUUGGGGGUCAGAGGCACCCCAAAACCCUUCCCAUAACACCAGGGCCUGCUCCACAGCCCACUGCAGCUCAGGCCCCUGGCAAUGGGAACACUGGGGGGUUAGGGGGACCCCAAAACACAUCCUAUACCCCAAAACCCUUCCCACACCCACAGCACACACUGCAGCACUGGCUGCUGGAAACACCACGUUUUGGGGGCUCAGGGGAACCCCAAUACCCUUCCCAUAACACCCGGGCCCGCUGCAGCUCUGGCUCCUGGGGAUGGAACAUUUGGGGGUCAGGGAAACCCCAAAACCCUUCUGACACCCCAAAACCCUUCCCACAACAAUAGGGCCUGCUCCAGGGCCUGCUGCAGCUCCGGCUCCUGGGAAUGGAACAUUGUGGGGUUAGGGGAACCCCAAAACACAUCCCAAACCCACAGCACGCACAGGGCUCACUCCAGGGCCCGCUGCAGCUCUGGCUCCUGGGGAUAGAACAUUGGGGGUCAGGGGGACCCCAAAACACAUCCCAAACCCCAAAAUCCCUCCCUGACCCUCACUGAAUGCUCCAGGGCCCACUGCAGCUCCAGCUCCUGGGGAUGGGAACAGAACAUUGGGGGUCAGGGGCACCCCAAACCCCAAAAUCCCUCCCAGACCUGCAGGGUCCGCUCCAGGGCCCACUGCAGCUCUGGCUCCUGGGGAUGGGAAUAUUUGGGUGGUCAGGGGGACCCCAAAAUCCCUCCCAAACACACAGCACACACUGUAGCUCCAGCUGCUGGGAACAGGCACAUUUGGGGGAUCAGGGGGACCCCCAAAACUCUUCCCACACAACAAAGCCCUUCCCACAACAGCAGGGCCUGCUCCAGGGCCUGCUGCAGCUCCGGCUCCUGGGGAUGGAAUAUUUGAGGGGUCAGGGUCACCCCAAAAUCUCUCCCAAACACACAGUGACUUCUCCAGAGCCCGCUGCAGGCCUGGCUCCCGGGGAUGGGAACACUGGGGGGUCAGGGGGACCCCAAAACACAUCCCAAACCUCAAAACUCUUCCUGGAGCCACAGCGCCCGCUGCAGGGCCCGCUGCAGCUCCGGCACCUCGGAAUGGGAAUAUUUGGGGGGUCAGGGGGUCCCCAAAUCCCUUCUGAACCCACUGCAGUUCCAGAUGCUGGCAAUGGCACAUUUGAGGGUCACAGGGGACCCCAAAACCUCUCCUGUACCCACAGCCCCUCCAGCUCCUCACACAUUUGGGGUUUGGGAGGGUCUGAGGGA
Zonotrichia albicollis (white-throated sparrow) is the source of this 1654-nucleotide long non-coding RNA. NCBI's taxonomy places the organism in Eukaryota, Metazoa, Chordata, Aves, Passeriformes, Passerellidae. The record is from Ensembl.